This 76-nucleotide transfer RNA is filed under the name Staphylococcus aureus. Its description in RNAcentral is "tRNA-Thr(tgt)". It matches the Rfam family "tRNA". From Rfam's summary of the family: Transfer RNA (tRNA) molecules are approximately 80 nucleotides in length. RNAcentral also lists the same sequence under 1 other name. Lineage: Bacteria; Bacillati; Bacillota; Bacilli; Caryophanales; Staphylococcaceae. The record is from RNAcentral.
GCCGGCCUAGCUCAAUUGGUAGAGCAACUGACUUGUAAUCAGUAGGUUGGGGGUUCAAUUCCUCUGGCCGGCACCA